Molecule: ribosomal RNA, 492 nt
Filed under: uncultured bacterium
Lineage: Bacteria
Description: partial 16S ribosomal RNA
Rfam family: Bacterial small subunit ribosomal RNA
Source: RNAcentral
AGUGAACGCUGGCGGUAGGCCUAACACAUGCAAGUCGAACGGCAGCACAGUAAGAGCUUGCUCUUACGGGUGGCGAGUGGCGGACGGGUGAGGAAUACAUCGGAAUCUACUUUUUCGUGGGGGAUAACGUAGGGAAACUUACGCUAAUACCGCAUACGACCUACGGGUGAAAGCAGGGGAUCUUCGGACCUUGCGCGAUUGAAUGAGCCGAUGUCGGAUUAGCUAGUUGGCGGGGUAAAGGCCCACCAAGGCGACGAUCCGUAGCUGGUCUGAGAGGAUGGUCAGCCGCACUGGAACGGAGACACGGUCCAGACUCCUACGGGAGGCAGCAGUGGGGAAUAUUGGACAAUGGGCGCAAGCCUGAUCCAGCCAUACCGCGUGGGUGGAGAAGGCCUUCGGGUUGUAAAGCCCUUUUGUUGGUAAAGAAAAGCAGCAGGUUAAUACCCCGCUGUUCUGACGGUACCCAAAGAAUAAGCACCGGCUAACUUCGUG